GAUGAACGCUGGCGGCGUGCCUAAUACAUGCAAGUCGAGCGAACAGACAAGGAGCUUGCUCCUUUGACGUUAGCGGCGGACGGGUGAGUAACACGUGGGUAACCUACCUAUAAGACUGGGAUAACUUCGGGAAACCGGAGCUAAUACCGGAUAAUAUUUCGAACCGCAUGGUUCGAUAGUGAAAGAUGGUUUUGCUAUCACUUAUAGAUGGACCCGCGCCGUAUUAGCUAGUUGGUAAGGUAACGGCUCACCAAGGCGACGAUACGUAGCCGACCUGAGAGGGUGAUCGGCCACACUGGAACUGAGACACGGUCCAGACUCCUACGGGAGGCAGCAGUAGGGAAUCUUCCGCAAUGGGCGAAAGCCUGACGGAGCAACGCCGCGUGAGUGAUGAAGGUCUUCGGAUCGUAAAACUCUGUUAUUAGGGAAGAACAUACGUGUAAGUAACUAUGCACGUCUUGACGGUACCUAAUCAGAAAGCCACGGCUAACUACGUGCCAGCAGCCGCGGUAAUACGUAGGUGGCAAGCGUUAUCCGGAAUUAUUGGGCGUAAAGCGCGCGUAGGCGGUUUUUUAAGUCUGAUGUGAAAGCCCACGGCUCAACCGUGGAGGGUCAUUGGAAACUGGAAAACUUGAGUGCAGAAGAGGAAAGUGGAAUUCCAUGUGUAGCGGUGAAAUGCGCAGAGAUAUGGAGGAACACCAGUGGCGAAGGCGACUUUCUGGUCUGUAACUGACGCUGAUGUGCGAAAGCGUGGGGAUCAAACAGGAUUAGAUACCCUGGUAGUCCACGCCGUAAACGAUGAGUGCUAAGUGUUAGGGGGUUUCCGCCCCUUAGUGCUGCAGCUAACGCAUUAAGCACUCCGCCUGGGGAGUACGACCGCAAGGUUGAAACUCAAAGGAAUUGACGGGGACCCGCACAAGCGGUGGAGCAUGUGGUUUAAUUCGAAGCAACGCGAAGAACCUUACCAAAUCUUGACAUCCUUUGACAACUCUAGAGAUAGAGCUUUCCCCUUCGGGGGACAAAGUGACAGGUGGUGCAUGGUUGUCGUCAGCUCGUGUCGUGAGAUGUUGGGUUAAGUCCCGCAACGAGCGCAACCCUUAAGCUUAGUUGCCAUCAUUAAGUUGGGCACUCUAAGUUGACUGCCGGUGACAAACCGGAGGAAGGUGGGGAUGACGUCAAAUCAUCAUGCCCCUUAUGAUUUGGGCUACACACGUGCUACAAUGGACAAUACAAAGGGCAGCGAAACCGCGAGGUCAAGCAAAUCCCAUAAAGUUGUUCUCAGUUCGGAUUGUAGUCUGCAACUCGACUACAUGAAGCUGGAAUCGCUAGUAAUCGUAGAUCAGCAUGCUACGGUGAAUACGUUCCCGGGUCU
This 1372-nucleotide ribosomal RNA is filed under the name uncultured bacterium. RNAcentral describes it as "bacterial SSU rRNA". It matches the Rfam family "Bacterial small subunit ribosomal RNA", at positions 28 to 1381 of the family's 1533-position model. The record is from RNAcentral.